This 384-nucleotide ribosomal RNA is filed under the name uncultured Thermodesulfobacteriota bacterium. Its description in RNAcentral is "bacterial SSU rRNA". It matches the Rfam family "Bacterial small subunit ribosomal RNA", at positions 28 to 450 of the family's 1533-position model. Lineage: Bacteria; Pseudomonadati; Thermodesulfobacteriota. The record is from RNAcentral.
GAUGAACGCUAGCGGUGCGCCUAACACAUGCAAGUCGAGCGAUAUAGUGGCGAACGGGUGAGUAAUACGUUGGAACCUGCCCCGAACUCAGGGAUAGCCAUCCGAAAGGGUGAUUAAUACCGGAUAGUCCCGAAAGGGUAAAGAUUUUUCGGUUCGGGAGGGGCCUGCGGCCUAUCAGCUUGUUGGUAGUGUAAUAGACUACCAAGGCUAUGACGGGUAACUGGUGUGAGAGCAUGACCAGUCACAAUGGAACUGAGACACGGUCCAUACUCCUACGGGAGGCAGCAGUGAGGAAUCUUCCGCAAUGGGCGAAAGCCUGACGGAGCGACACCGCGUGAAGGAUGAAGGCCUUUUGGUUGUAAACUUCUUUUCUGGGGGAAUAAA